GAGUUUUGCUCGAGGACUAGCAAAAUGUUACCCAUGGGGGAUAAUAAAGAUUGAGAGUAAGGCCACUGAAGUGCUUAUGGUUAAUGGACUAAGCUUCAAGCCGUAUGUUGUGGAUGAUGAAUUGAAAAAUAGGGUGAAUUUGUCAAGCUAGUGACUAUAAAAAAGCAUUUCUCGGGAGGCAAUCCAAGUUUUUCUACACUCAGUCAUUUUUUUUUUAAUAAUCUUCUUUAUGUUUCCUUAUAUUCAUAAUUUUUAGUUUUAGUUUUAAUUUUAUCUGCUUAUUUUCUCUUUUGUAGGUAUUAUGAAUAUUUUUUUCUCUUUUAUUUAUUCAAAAAAAAAAUACAUAGCACCCUUAGUGUCGUGGCACCAGGCACCUAGCACCAUGACUCGGAACCUCCCUCGGGCCUAUGACAACCGCCUCGACGUCCCAAUUGACACUCAUUACCCGAAAUGCCAAUCAGAACCCCGCAAGGCUUACAUAUCAGUUUCUUGCCUUUUCUGUGAGCAAUCGUUUUUAAACAUUCCAUUUUAAACAAUUUCCAGUAGUUUCCUGCUCAAGUAAAUCAAAAGACAAAAAUAUUUUAAAAAGAUUUAUAGAUAAAUAUCACUAUUCAAAAUAUUGAUUAAAAUAUAACAUUUUUUUAUAUAAAAUAAUAUUUAUAGAAACACGUGUAAGAAAUCUUUUUGUAAC
Molecule: long non-coding RNA, 691 nt
Filed under: Theobroma cacao (cacao)
Lineage: Eukaryota; Viridiplantae; Streptophyta; Magnoliopsida; Malvales; Malvaceae
Description: long non-coding RNA (TCAC_LNC003308)
Source: RNAcentral